UGGCUUUAAAUGAUAACUAUGUCUAUAGAUAAAAAACUGAAUCAAAGAGGUACCAGAUCCAUAUGUAAAUCUAAACUGUCUCCCAUUCUUUUCUUGAAGCAAAAAAGAUGUUGAAUGUGAUUACAGAUGAUCAGAGUUUCCCUCUGAAGAAAUGGGCAUAUUCUGAACCAAGCAUGUACUAUAUUCCCUUGACAAAUAUAUUUACACUCAACUCAGAACAUGGAGAGAAAAGGAAAUGUCAACAGUUGACAGCUUCUUGGCCUAUGGGGUGUGAUCCAGGAGCAUAAUAAAUUCAUUUAAUCUUGGUGUUGAAUACAUGCAUGUUAGACUUAUGCAUAGUUUUGUUUUUGUUUUUUUUUUUUUUGGCCUUUCCUCCAACACAUUGUUUGAAUACAAUGUCACAUUCCUCUGUGUUGUCAACAGAGACAUGAACCAAGCUAACCCUUUGGGUCCAACCUGGGAUAAUUUUCCCUAAUGAGUAAAAGGAGGAAUGAGAAAAGGAUACCACGUAGAAGAUGCCUUAUUACCAAAUGUUGGUGGAUAACUAUUUCACGCUGAAACAUGUGCCUCAAGAACAUUGGCCACUGGGAGCUUACAGAGUCCC
Molecule: long non-coding RNA, 604 nt
Filed under: Bos taurus (domestic cattle)
Lineage: Eukaryota; Metazoa; Chordata; Mammalia; Artiodactyla; Bovidae
Description: long non-coding RNA NONBTAT015007
Source: RNAcentral